RNAcentral lists this ribosomal RNA (505 nucleotides) under uncultured bacterium. Its description in RNAcentral is "partial 16S ribosomal RNA". It matches the Rfam family "Bacterial small subunit ribosomal RNA", at positions 28 to 507 of the family's 1533-position model. The record is from RNAcentral.
GACGAACGCUGGCGGCGUGCCUAAUACAUGCAAGUAGAACGCACAGUUUAUACCGUAGCUUGCUACACCAUAGACUGUGAGUUGCGAACGGGUGAGUAACGCGUAGGUAACCUGCCUGGUAGCGGGGGAUAACUAUUGGAAACGAUAGCUAAUACCGCAUAAUAUUGAUUAUUGCAUGAUAAUUGAUUGAAAGAUGCUAUUGCAUCACUACCAGAUGGACCUGCGUUGUAUUAGCUAGUAGGUGAGGUAACGGCUCACCUAGGCGACGAUACAUAGCCGACCUGAGAGGGUGAUCGGCCACACUGGGACUGGGACACGGCCCAGACUCCUACGGGAGGUAGCAGUAGGGAAUCUUCGGCAAUGGACGAAAGUCUGACCGAGCAACGCCGCGUGAGUGAAGAAGGUUUUCGGAUCGUAAAGCUCUGUUGUAAGAGAAGAACGGGUGUGAGAGUGGAAAGUUCACACUGUGACGGUAUCUUACCAGAAAGGGACGGCUAACUACGUG